AAAAUCCGUCGAACUUUAGAA
Molecule: transfer RNA, 21 nt
Filed under: Paloue brasiliensis
Lineage: Eukaryota; Viridiplantae; Streptophyta; Magnoliopsida; Fabales; Fabaceae
Description: partial tRNA-Leu
Source: RNAcentral